Molecule: transfer RNA, 72 nt
Filed under: Bos taurus (domestic cattle)
Lineage: Eukaryota; Metazoa; Chordata; Mammalia; Artiodactyla; Bovidae
Also listed under: 3 other names
Rfam family: tRNA
About the family: Transfer RNA (tRNA) molecules are approximately 80 nucleotides in length. Their secondary structure includes four short double-helical elements and three loops (D, anti-codon, and T loops). Further hydrogen bonds mediate the characteristic L-shaped molecular structure. tRNAs have two regions of fundamental functional importance: the anti-codon, which is responsible for specific mRNA codon recognition, and the 3' end, to which the tRNAs corresponding amino acid is attached (by aminoacyl-tRNA synthetases). tRNAs cope with the degeneracy of the genetic code in two manners: having more than one tRNA (with a specific anti-codon) for a particular amino acid; and 'wobble' base-pairing, i.e. permitting non-standard base-pairing at the 3rd anti-codon position.
Source: Rfam by way of RNAcentral
UCCUUGGUGACUCAGACAGUGAAGUAUCUGCUUGCAAUGCAGGAGACUCAGGUUCAAUCCCUGGGUUGGGAA